Molecule: ribosomal RNA, 599 nt
Filed under: uncultured Actinomycetes bacterium
Lineage: Bacteria; Bacillati; Actinomycetota; Actinomycetes
Description: bacterial SSU rRNA
Rfam family: Bacterial small subunit ribosomal RNA
Source: RNAcentral
GAGAGGUAACGGCUCACCAAGGCAUCGACGGGUAGCUGGUCUGAGAGGAUGAUCAGCCACACUGGAACUGAGACACGGUCCAGACUCCUACGGGAGGCAGCAGUGGGGAAUCUUGCACAAUGGGCGAAAGCCUGAUGCAGCGAUGCCGCGUGCGGGAAGAAGGCCCUAGGGUUGUAAACCGCUUUCAGGAGGGAAGAAAAUGACGGUACCUCCAGAAGAAGGUGCGGCCAACUACGUGCCAGCAGCCGCGGUAACACGUAGGCACCAAGCGUUAUCCGGAUUUAUUGGGCGUAAAGAGCUCGUAGGCGGUUCAGUCAGUCGGGUGUGAAAACUUGAGGCUUAACCUCAAGAGGUCACUCGAUACUACUGUGACUAGAGUGCGGUAGGGGAGCGGGGAAUUCCUGGUGUAGCGGUGAAAUGCGCAGAUAUCAGGAGGAACACCAGUGGCGAAGGCGCCGCUCUGGGCCGUAACUGACGCUGAGGAGCGAAAGCAUGGGUAGCAAACAGGAUUAGAUACCCUGGUAGUCCAUGCCGUAAACGGUGGGCACUAGGUGUGGGGUCUUUCAACGGAUUCUGUGCCGAAGCUAACGCAUUAAGUG